GUUGAUCCUGCCGGAGGCUAUUGCUAUCCGAAUCCGACUAAGCCAUGCUAGUUUUGGAAUCAAUUUUGGUUCCAGGGCGGAAAGCUCAGUAAUAUGUGGUUAAUCUGCCCUUAGGUUCAGGAUAAUCUUGGGAAACUGAGGCUAAUACUGGAUAGGCAAGGGACGCUGGAAUGCCCCCUUGCUUAAAGAUUUAUCGCCUAAGGAUGGGACUGCAGCAGAUUAGGUUUUUAUGAGAGUAAUGUCCUCAUAAGCCGAUAAUCUGUACGGGCUUUGAGAGAAGAAACCCGGAGAUGGAUUCUGAGACAAGAAUCCAGGCCCUACGGGGCGCAGCAGGCGCGAAACAUUCCCAAUGACCGCAAGGUUGAGGAUGGGAUUCGGAGUGCUACUUCUUUAAGGAGUAGCUUUUGUUAAGUUUAAACCGCUUAUCGAAUAAGUGGUGGGUAAGACGGGUGCCAGCCGCCGCGGUAAUACCCGCGCCACAAGUGAUAGUCUCGAUUAUUGGGUUUAAAGCGUCCGUAGCCGGUUCGUUAAGUUCUUAGUGAAAUACCAUAGCUAACUAUGGUGCUUGCUAGGGGUACUGACAGGCUAGAGAACGGGAGAAGUCUGGGGUAUUCCUGGGGUAAGGGUAAAAUCCUGUAAUCCUAGGAGGACCACCUGUGGCGAAGGCGCCAGACUAGAACGAUUCUGACGGUGAGGGACGAAAGCUUGGGGAGCAAAGGGGAUUAGAUACCCCCGUAGUCCUAGCUGUAAACGAUGCCCACUAGUUGUUGGAGUUCUUACGGGGGACUUCAAUGUCGUAGCGAAAGCGUUAAGUGGGCCACCUGGGGAGUACGGUCGCAAGGCUGAAACUUAAGGGAAUUGGCGGGGGAGCACACAAGGGGUGGAGGCUACGGUUUAAUUCGAUUCAACGCGAGGAACCUUACCAGAAGCGACAGCAGAAUGAAGGUCAGGCUGAAGGUCUUACCAGACAAGCUGAGAGGUGUUGCAUGGCCGUCGCCAGUUCGUGCCGUGAGGUGUCCUGUUAAGUCAGGUAACGAACAAGACCCGCGCCCUAUGUUGCUAGGACAUUUUUAUGUCUGCACUCAUAGGGAACCGCUGGUGAUAAGCCAGAGGAAGGUGCGGUCGACGGCAGGUCAGUAUGGCCUGAAUCUUCUGGGUUACACGCGGCCUACAAUGGACGGAAUAAUGGGACGCGACCCCGAAAGGGGGAGCUAAUCUUUAAAUCCGUUCCCAAUCCGAAUUGAGGGCUGCAACCCGCCCUCAUGAAGUCGAAAUCCCUAGUAGUCGCUGGUCAUCAUCUAGCGGCGAAUAAGUUCUUGCUCCUUGCACACACUGCCCGUCAAGCCAUCCGAGUGGAGUUUCGGUGAUGCUUUGGUUUUUGCCAGAGUCGAGCCGCGGUUUCGCAAGGAGGGCUAAGUCGUAACAAGGUA
This 1430-nucleotide ribosomal RNA is filed under the name metagenome. RNAcentral's name for it is "bacterial SSU rRNA". It matches the Rfam family "Archaeal small subunit ribosomal RNA". The record is from RNAcentral.